Small nucleolar RNA from Lycium ferocissimum, 106 nucleotides. The record is from RefSeq and is a predicted model, not a curated record. NCBI's taxonomy places the organism in Eukaryota, Viridiplantae, Streptophyta, Magnoliopsida, Solanales, Solanaceae.
UACCCAUGAUGAGGGCAAUCUCUUAGCAAUUGCAUAAAUCGCCCCCACGCUUCAUACAAUGUUUCCCCUUGCCCUGUACGAACCCCACAAUUUUACUCAUGAGCUC